RNAcentral lists this transfer RNA (73 nucleotides) under Urocitellus parryii (Arctic ground squirrel). RNAcentral describes it as "Spermophilus parryii (Arctic ground squirrel) tRNA". It matches the Rfam family "tRNA". From Rfam's summary of the family: Transfer RNA (tRNA) molecules are approximately 80 nucleotides in length. Their secondary structure includes four short double-helical elements and three loops (D, anti-codon, and T loops). The record is from Rfam by way of RNAcentral. RNAcentral also lists the same sequence under 1 other name. Lineage: Eukaryota; Metazoa; Chordata; Mammalia; Rodentia; Sciuridae.
GGGGAUACAGCUCAGUUGGUAGAGCGCUUGCCUUGCAUGCAUAAGGCCCUAGAUUCAAUCCCUAGAAUCGCUU